AUAGCGCAUAGUACCGUGAGGGAAAGGUGAAAAGAACCCCGGGAGGGGAGUGAAAGAGAACCUGAAACCAUAUGCCUACAAGAAGUCAGAGCCCGUUAAAGGGUGAUGGCGUGCCUUUUGUAGAAUGAACCGGCGAGUUACUGUAUGGAGCGAGGUUAAGCAGGAUAUGCGGAGCCGAAGCGAAAGCGAGUCUUAAGAGGGCGAAAGUUGCAUGCAGUAGACCCGAAACCGGGUGAUCUAGCCAUGACCAGGUUGAAGUUGGGGUAAAACCCGAUGGAGGACCGAACCGACCCCCGUUGAAACGUUGGCGGAUGAGUUGUGGCUAGGGGUGAAAUUCCAAUCGAACCCGGAGAUAGCUGGUUCUCCCCGAAAUAGCUUUAGGGCUAGCGUCGAGAGAAGAGUUGCGUGAAGGUAGAGCACUGAAUAUGUGAUGGCCCCAUCUCGGGGUACUGAGCAUAAUCAAACUGCGAAUGUCACGGAAACAUACUCGGCAGUCAGACAGCGGGUGAUAAGGUCCGUUGUCAAGAGGGAAACAGCCCAGACCAUCAGCUAAGGUCCCAAAAUGUAUGCUAAGUGGAAAAGGAUGUGGAGAUGUACAGACAACUAGGAGGUUGGCUCAGAAGCAGCCAUCCUUUAAAGAGUGCGUAACAGCUCACUAGUCGAAUGACUCUGCGCCGAUAAUUUACCGGGGCUAAGCAUACUACCGAAGCUAUGGAUCCCAAGGGAUGGUAGGGGAGCGUUCCAUGAACGGAGAAGCGCGAUCGAGAGGACGCGUGGAGAUCAUGGAAGAGAGAAUGCCGGUGUGAGUAGCGGAACGUGGGUGAGAAUCCCACGCACCGAAAACCCAAGGUUUCCAGAGGAAGGUUCGUCCGCUCUGGGUAAGUCGGGACCUAAGGCGAGGCCGAGAGGCGUAGUCGAUGGACAACAGGUAGAGAUUCCUGUACUCAUAUAUAUGUGAAGGAAUGACGGAGAGAGGAAGCUGCAGCCAGCGGCUGGAAGAGCUGGUGCAAGCGAGAUAUCGGGAUGGCAGGCAAAUCCACCAUCCGAAACGAGAAGGCGUGAAGCGUACGGAAAGCUACGGCGAGUACGGAAGGCAGUGGAGGAACUUCCAAGAAAAGUUUCUAACGUUAAGUAUAUAUGGCCCGUACCGAAAAUGGACACACAUGGGUGAGGAGAGAAUCCUAAGGUGAGCGAGAGAACUAUAGCUAAGGAACUCUGCAAAAUGACUCCGUAACUUAGGGAGAAGGAGUGCUCAUAGAGAUAUGAGCCGCAGUGAAACGGCCCAAGCGACUGUUUACCAAAAACACAGCUCUAUGCUAAGUCGAAAGACGACGUAUAUGGGGUGACGCCUGCCCGGUGCUGGAAGGUUAAGAGGAUGUGUCAGCGCAAGCGAAGCACUGAAUUGAAGCCCCAGUAAACGGCGGCCGUAACUAUAACGGUCCUAAGGUAGCGAAAUUCCUUGUCAGGU
Molecule: ribosomal RNA, 1468 nt
Filed under: human gut metagenome
Description: bacterial LSU rRNA
Rfam family: Bacterial large subunit ribosomal RNA
Source: RNAcentral